UUUCCAUUUGAAACCAUGCUUUCUCUAUCUUUCUCAAUUUCCAGAGGAUUGGGAGUUUCACAAAAGGGAAUUGAUUCCAAUGUGGAUGGCUGAAGGGUUUAUAUUACAAUCGUCAAUGGGAGAAGGAGAAGACACAAUGGAAGAUAAGGGUGACGAAUAUUUGGAAGAGCUUAUAAGUAGGUGUAUGGUUCAAGUAAGCCAAAGAGAUCACACUGGAAUA
Molecule: unclassified non-coding RNA, 220 nt
Filed under: Hevea brasiliensis (rubber tree)
Lineage: Eukaryota; Viridiplantae; Streptophyta; Magnoliopsida; Malpighiales; Euphorbiaceae
Source: RNAcentral